Molecule: ribosomal RNA, 447 nt
Filed under: uncultured bacterium
Lineage: Bacteria
Description: SSU rRNA
Rfam family: Bacterial small subunit ribosomal RNA
Source: RNAcentral
AGAGCGAACGCUGGCGGCAGGCCUAACACAUGCAAGUCGAACGGAUCCUUCGGGAUUAGUGGCGGACGGGUGAGUAACACGUGGGAACGUGCCUUUUGGUUCGGAACAACCCAGGGAAACUUGGGCUAAUACCGGAUACGCCCGCAAGGGGAAAGAUUUAUCGCCGGAAGAUCGGCCCGCGUCUGAUUAGCUAGUUGGUGAGGUAACGGCUCACCAAGGCGACGAUCAGUAGCUGGUCUGAGAGGAUGAUCAGCCUCACUGGGACUGAGACACGGCCCAGACUCCUACGGGAGGCAGCAGUGGGGAAUAUUGGACAAUGGGCGCAAGCCUGAUCCAGCCAUGCCGCGUGGGUGAUGAAGGCCCUAGGGUUGUAAAAGCCCUUUCGGCGGGGAAGAUAAUGACGGUACCCGCAGAAGAAGCCCCGGCUAACUUCGUGCCAGCAGCCGC